AUUGAACGCUGGCGGCAUGCUUUACACAUGCAAGUCGAACGGUAACAGGUUAAGCUGACGAGUGGCGAACGGGUGAGUAAUGCAUCGGAACGUGCCCGGUCGUGGGGGAUAACGCAGCGAAAGCUGCGCUAAUACCGCAUACGAUCUGAGGAUGAAAGCGGGGACCGUAAGGCCUCGCGCGAUCGGAGCGGCCGAUGUCAGAUUAGGUAGUUGGUGGGGUAAAGGCUCACCAGGCCAACGAUCUGUAGCUGGUCUGAGAGGACGACCAGCCACACGGGGACUGAGACACGGCCCAGACUCCUACGGGAGGCAGCAGUGGGGAAUUGUGGACAAUGGGCGAAAGCCUGAUCCAGCAAUGCCGCGUGCAGGAAGAAGGCCUUCGGGUUGUAAACUGCUUUUGUACGGAGCGAAAAGGUCUCCUCUAAUACAGGGGGCUCAUGACGGUACCGUAAGAAUAAGCACCGGCUAACUACGUGCCAGCAGCCGCAGUAA
RNAcentral lists this ribosomal RNA (492 nucleotides) under uncultured bacterium. RNAcentral's name for it is "partial 16S ribosomal RNA". It matches the Rfam family "Bacterial small subunit ribosomal RNA", at positions 29 to 523 of the family's 1533-position model. The record is from RNAcentral.